GGUUUCAGUCCCCAUCGGGCCCAAUACAAUCUUACCUGAAGCAAACCCUGGGCCUAUCCCAGUACCACACCAGCCACAGAUUCCACCUAGAAGCCAGAGCACUACCGUUGGAACGCCACUAGGUGUCAGGACUGCUACGGUACCGGUUCCCUCUGGGGAUACCCAACAGAGACUUCUCAAUCUGGUACAAGGAGUCUUCCAGGUGUUAAAUUAGACGGACCCCAGUAUCACUAAAUCAUGUUGGCUCUGUUUAGGGUCCAGACUGCCCUAUUACGAAGGAAUAGUAACUAAUAGAGCUGUUACCUAUAGUAAUUCACAUCAGUUUUGUUCAAGGGGCUCCAGCCAUAAACUAACCCUCACCAAAGUGUAUGGGGCAAGUCUAUGUAUAGGGGCCAUUCCUAAUACUUUUACUUCACUUUGAAACUCUACCCUGAUUGUCAACUCAUCUGCCGGUGCCUAUUUGGUCCCUCAAACUGAUACUUGGUGGGCCUGCAGUACUGGACUAACUCCUUGUAUUUCCACUUCAAUAUUUAAUCCUCACAGAGAUUUUUGUCUUCUGGUUCAGCUAGUGCCUCGAGUUUAUUGCCACCCAGAGAGAGUUGUAACUGAUGCAUAUGACAUAAGAUUAACCAGAUUCAAAAGAGAUCCCGUCACCUUGACGCUAGCUCCUAUUGGCAGUCGGGCUGGCUGGCAUAGGGACCCGUACUGCAGCAUUAGUCACCUCUCACCGCUCCUUUUCAGACUUGAGAGAUGCAAUGACCAAGGAU
RNAcentral lists this long non-coding RNA (767 nucleotides) under Rattus norvegicus (Norway rat). RNAcentral describes it as "long non-coding RNA NONRATT018708". The record is from RNAcentral. Lineage: Eukaryota; Metazoa; Chordata; Mammalia; Rodentia; Muridae.